ACCUCGUAGAUGAUAUCCAUUGUC
Molecule: non-coding RNA, 24 nt
Filed under: Arabidopsis thaliana (thale cress)
Lineage: Eukaryota; Viridiplantae; Streptophyta; Magnoliopsida; Brassicales; Brassicaceae
Source: RNAcentral